Bos taurus (domestic cattle) is the source of this 870-nucleotide long non-coding RNA. Lineage: Eukaryota; Metazoa; Chordata; Mammalia; Artiodactyla; Bovidae. The record is from Ensembl.
AGAUGAUGUGGAAGGAAAGUGGAAGUUCCCAGUUCAAAAAGAAUCCUAGGGCAGAUCACAUUCCUCAAAAGAAUUAAGUUAAUAUCUAAUCGACUUCCUAAUUUCUAUAUGUGUUUCUCAAGGUCUUCUCAACACACAACUUCACAUUCAUAGGGUGAGAUGGUAUGACACUCGAGCGUAUUUGAGACAUAAUUCCAUUAACCUCUUGCUGGGCUCACCUGCCUUCAACCAGUGAGGAACAUCAAGAGAUCAGAGAUUAGCUGAACUCAGCUUUAACCCUUCAAAGAAACUGUGUAGCUCCAGGAAGAAAAGUUAUUUAAAUGAUACUCCCAAAGAAAAGGCAGAGGAAAGGUGCUCCUGUGUAAUUUUUCCUAAGGAUAAAGAGGGAAUUUUUUUCAGAGACAAUUUCCUAUGGAAGCAGAGUACUUAAUAUUUCAUGUAAAAACAUCAUCAACGUAUGAAUAUGUUAAAGGUAAAGAAGAUUAUGGUUAACAGACUUUAAACAGAAGACCAAAAUUACAGAUUUCAAAUUGGAAACAGACUCGUGGUCGUGUUCCUGAGAGGCCCCUGGAACUCUCAGUAGCCCUCUUCUACCCAGUACAGCGAAAUCGGGACUUUAAAACAGAAGGACCCGAGAUUUCGCGCGGCGGGCAAAACAUCUCAUCCUUGAUCGGGACGCGCCAGCCUUACCCUGACAGCUCCUCGGGUAUCCUUCCCGCCCCAACUCAGAAAUUUUGAAUAUGACCUCACUUUCUAGAGUAGCAUCGAACAGGGGCCUCCGAAAGACACCUUUGGCUUGAACUACCAAAAAGCACCCACUCUCCCUCUUAAGAAACUACGCGGUUAGUCUCCGGGUUACUUUCACUGAGA